Heterocephalus glaber (naked mole-rat) is the source of this 1518-nucleotide long non-coding RNA. The record is from Ensembl. NCBI's taxonomy places the organism in Eukaryota, Metazoa, Chordata, Mammalia, Rodentia, Bathyergidae.
UGCCUCACUGGAGCUGUGUGCAGUGGGUGGGCUGAGACGCUGGGUCCCGAUUGUGUCCUCGGAGAAGGCACAGGAGCUGUGGCAGCCUUCACUCGAGACUGUUAGCCUAAGCAGGGCUGUGAGAGGCGGACAGGACCCACACGUCCGGGCCCAGGGACACCUCCCUGUGGGCUCCCAUGUCCUGCAGCUUGCUGUGCUUGACAGCCACUGGGAUCCAGGUGAAAAGCACCACACGCCCAUGUGGCUGUGAAUGUCAGUGAGGAGUCAUAAGGAAAUACGUUGAAAACAGUGGGAGUAAGAGCACCAGACACAUGGAAAGGUUGACACAUGGAAAUCUGGGCAUUUGGAAGUAGAUUGUGGCUGGAAUUUGAUAUUCCUCAGAAGUUCCCGUGUUGAGCACUUAAUCCCCACAUUUCUAUGUUAACGGUAUUUGGAGGUGGGCUUUGGGGAAGCAGUGAGAAUGAGGUGGGGGUUGUGGAUUGGUCGAUGGUGACAUUAGCGGCUUUGCUAGAAGAGAAAGGGAAACCCGGGCUGCUCACUCGCUCUCUCGCCAUGUGAUGCCCACGGGGCCCUCCCGGGAUGCCACCCAGAUGCUGACACCCUGCUCUGGAACUUUCCAGAACUGGGAGCUGACCAUACUUUUGUUUGUUAUAAAUCACUUGGUCUCGGAAAUUUUGUUAUGGAAAUCGAAUACACAGGUGUCAAAAUCAGUCUGAUCUAGGAGGACUUGGAAGACCAGCUACCUAACAGUGAGGAUUUUCCCUGCAGACAUGGGUCCUCGGACUCAGGAGAGAGGCAGGCGCUGUCUCCUGUGCGCAUCCCCUCUCCCGGCUGUGCCUGAGAUGAGCAAAGCUGAGAUGCCUGCAGCCGUCCUUUCAUGACCACCUUUCUCCUUCACGGUGUUCCAAUCCCAGACCAGUGCUCAGGGCUCUCAUUUUCUUCCCAUUACGGCCUCCUCUUGAGGAGUCUUAGGAGCUAGUUUCUCCAGUGAUCCCAAGUACUGAUGAAGUUCCAGGCAUUAUUCGCUCUGACAUAAUGGUAUCUUGAGAUGGAAAAGGAACUGGGCAUCAAGUGUAGGAUUUCAGGCAUCAGCAGGUUAGGAGGGGAGGUGGGGCUUUUACACACACGCACACAUGGAUGCACACGCGCACGCGCACACACACACACACGCCAUGCCUCAACUCUGCUAUGCCACAGAGUACACAAAUCUGCACAGCUCUCUGGAAAGGCCUGUGCUGGCUCUUUUCUGGGGAGGAGAAGAGGCAUGACAUUGUGGAGGACCCUCUGCCGUUCCUUCCUCCCCACCUCCCUCAAGCCCAGUGCACAGGGGCACGCACGGGUCUUCCCUGCCUCCUUUUCCUGCUUGCUGAAGUAAAGACGUAAGCAGUUUCUGUCUUACACCUGCAGCCCCUCCGGGGGUGGGCCGGACCGGGUGGGAGUGAAGGGCAGUAGCUUCCUCCACAACAGGCAUUGGAGCUCACAACCCAGCUGAGCGGGCCCCUGUCCGGGGUGCUGGCC